Long non-coding RNA from Magnolia sinica, 793 nucleotides. RefSeq lists it as uncharacterized. NCBI's taxonomy places the organism in Eukaryota, Viridiplantae, Streptophyta, Magnoliopsida, Magnoliales, Magnoliaceae. The transcript has 3 exons. The record is from RefSeq and is a predicted model, not a curated record.
AUAUAUAUCUUCUCUCUUUCCAAUAUUAAAUUUAGAAACAAAAGAUAAAUGAUGCAUCACGAAUAACGAUGAUACGUGAAUGUACUGGUAACCUAAUUCCCCUUUCCCACGCGUGAUUUUUUGGGUUUCUUGAGAAAUGUACUGGGUUUUUUUUCUUUUGAUAUUUUGAACUUAAUUGUAAUAUUUUAAUGGAGAGAGAGCGACAGAGGGGAAAGCGUGACUUUUGAUUCCGUUGGGGAAACACAAUGGGGACGAGGGUAGGACACUGAUCUUUGUGAGGGUUUUAACGGAAAACCGUAUUAGUUCAUUGUUUGGAGACUCCCGGGCCUUUGUGAUGAAUUGGAAUUAUGGUUGUUUUGAGCAUCUGCCAACGAUGAUCAGUGCCAUACUCGCUGCUCAUACCCAUGCUUGGGUAACAUAGAUACACUGUACUGAAAUCAUAACUUUAUUCUAAUAGGAAUGUGGCCCACAAUAAAUUAUCCACAACGUUAGUGGCCCCAUCGUGUAGCUGAUCCCUAUUACUUGACAUGAAGCUUAGAUGAUGUUGUUGUUGAUGGUCCAAUGUUGAUGGCCCAAGCAUCGAAAAUUCAAAAAAUCUGAAUAUGUUAGACAUUUGGUCAUUAAUUUCCCUUCUUUGGAUUGAAUGCUGACUGUUGAUAUGUAUUUUUGAUUAACUAAUGAUUUCCUAGCCACUAAAUAAAGAGGUAGAAUUUUCCAUCAUGGAGAAUUUUGCUGCAUCAAAAUAUAGAUUUAUAUAGGCAGAGCAUUGUAUAAUACAUCUAUCUAAAAUGUU